RNAcentral lists this ribosomal RNA (468 nucleotides) under uncultured bacterium. RNAcentral's name for it is "partial 16S ribosomal RNA". It matches the Rfam family "Bacterial small subunit ribosomal RNA", at positions 28 to 507 of the family's 1533-position model. The record is from RNAcentral.
GACGAACGCUGGCGGCGUGCUUAACACAUGCAAGUCGAACGGAAAGGCCCUGCUUUUGUGGGGUGCUCGAGUGGCGAACGGGUGAGUAACACGUGAGUAACCUGCCCUUGACUUUGGGAUAACUUCAGGAAACUGGGGCUAAUACCGGAUAGGAGCUACUGCUGCAUGGUGGGGGUUGGAAAGUUUCGGCGGUUGGGGAUGGAAUCGCGGCUUAUCAGCUUGUUGGUGGGGUAGUGGCUUACCAAGGCUUUGACGGGUAGCUGGCCUGAGAGGGUGACCGGCCACAUUGGGACUGAGAUACGGCCCAGACUCCUACGGGAGGCAGCAGUGGGGAAUAUUGCACAGUGGGCGGAAGCCUGAUGCAGCAACGCCGCGUGCGGGAUGACGGCCUUCGGGUUGUAAACCGCUUUCGCCUGUGACAAAGCGUGAGUGACGGUAAUGGGUAAAGAAGCACCGGCUAACUACGUG